NNNNNUCCAUUGCACUGGGGACCUACUGAGUCCUGCGAUUUCCCCGCAGGGGGGAAACUUGACUGCAUAAUUUGAGUUGGUGGGGGAUUGAGUCUGCGCUUUCCCCCA
This 108-nucleotide small nuclear RNA is filed under the name Dasypus novemcinctus (nine-banded armadillo). RNAcentral's name for it is "U1 spliceosomal RNA (ENSDNOG00000043409.1)". It matches the Rfam family "U1 spliceosomal RNA", at positions 57 to 166 of the family's 166-position model. From Rfam's summary of the family: U1 is a small nuclear RNA (snRNA) component of the spliceosome (involved in pre-mRNA splicing). The record is from RNAcentral. Lineage: Eukaryota; Metazoa; Chordata; Mammalia; Cingulata; Dasypodidae.